Molecule: ribosomal RNA, 442 nt
Filed under: uncultured Bartonellaceae bacterium
Lineage: Bacteria; Pseudomonadati; Pseudomonadota; Alphaproteobacteria; Hyphomicrobiales; Bartonellaceae
Description: bacterial SSU rRNA
Rfam family: Bacterial small subunit ribosomal RNA
Source: RNAcentral
UCCUACGGGUGGCAGCAGUGGGGAAUAUUGGACAAUGGGCGCAAGCCUGAUCCAGCCAUGCCGCGUGAGUGAUGAAGGCCCUAGGGUUGUAAAGCUCUUUCACCGGUGAAGAUAAUGACGGUAACCGGAGAAGAAGCCCCGGCUAACUUCGUGCCAGCAGCCGCGGUAAUACGAAGGGGGCUAGCGUUGUUCGGAUUUACUGGGCGUAAAGCGCACGUAGGCGGACUUUUAAGUCAGGGGUGAAAUCCCGGGGCUCAACCCCGGAACUGCCUUUGAUACUGGAAGUCUUGAGUAUGGAAGAGGUGAGUGGAAUUCCGAGUGUAGAGGUGAAAUUCGUAGAUAUUCGGAGGAACACCAGUGGCGAAGGCGGCUCACUGGUCCAUUACUGACGCUGAGGUGCGAAAGCGUGGGGAGCAAACAGGAUUAGAUACCCUAGUAGUCC